AGUGAACGCUGGCGGUAGGCCUAACACAUGCAAGUCGAACGGCAGCACAGUAAGAGCUUGCUCUUACGGGUGGCGAGUGGCGGACGGGUGAGGAAUACAUCGGAAUCUACUUUUUCGUGGGGGAUAACGUAGGGAAACUUACGCUAAUACCGCAUACGACCUCCGGGUGAAAGCAGGGGAUCUUCGGACCUUGCGCGAUUGAAUGAGCCGAUGUCGGAUUAGCUAGUUGGCGGGGUAAAGGCCCACCAAGGCGACGAUCCGUAGCUGGUCUGAGAGGAUGAUCAGCCACACUGGAACUGAGCCACGGUCCAGACUCCUACGGGAGGCAGCAGUGGGGAAUAUUGGACAAUGGGCGCAAGCCUGAUCCAGCCAUACCGCGUGGGUGAAGAAGGCCUUCGGGUUGUAAAGCCCUUUUGUUGGGAAAGAAAAGCAGCAGGUUAAUACCCCGCUGUUCUGACGGUACCCAAAGAAUAAGCACCGGCUAACUUCGU
RNAcentral lists this ribosomal RNA (491 nucleotides) under uncultured bacterium. RNAcentral describes it as "partial 16S ribosomal RNA". It matches the Rfam family "Bacterial small subunit ribosomal RNA", at positions 29 to 506 of the family's 1533-position model. The record is from RNAcentral.